GUAGCUUUGUUGUAAAUCUUGAAGUUGGCUCGGACUUCUCAGAAGGAUGUUGAAAAGAAGUAAUGAGAGAUCACUUUCUUGCCUUAUAUUUUAUCUUAAUGGGAAAGCAUCCAGUUUCUAAUCAUCAAGGAUGAGCUGCCAUGUGAAGAUGGACAUAUUUGCUUCCCCUUCUGCCAUGGAUGUUAAGUUUCCUGAGGCCUCUCCAGCCAUGCAAAACUAAAUCUACAUCAAUCUUUCUAAAUGAAUACACAGAGAGUUGAAUCUGUCUGAAGUAUUGUCCGUGGCUGAUUAACAACCUGUACUAUGGGCAUAUUGAAUCACUUAAAUUUACCCUAGAGAUUCCCUUAACUUCGAACACUGAUUUGCUUGCUAUGUUUGUGUACAUCUAUGUUUUAUCAUUUGCGCAUCUGAUGUUCACUCCUUGAAAAAUGGCUAUUUUAAGGGAAUAUUAAAUUGUAAAGUAGUACUGGAUUCAUGACAAACUGUACCAUAGAGGAGGCAAUAAUCACAACUAAUUGUUAAUGUGAUAUUAUAAUGAAAGCAGCUAGCUAAUACUUUAGACAUUUUUAUUUUUAUACAUUUAUAAUGUAGUUGCUUUAUACAUUACUUCCUGGAAUAACCUUAUGUUUUUUUCACUUGCGAGUCCACAAUAAAAUCGUAGAAUACAUGUCUCUUACAGCUUCUCUUAGUCUUAAUUCUUGAGAGAAAAAGAAGUGAUAAGAUAUAUAUGUGUUAAGAUUAGUGUAAGGUAUUGGCUCACACAAUUAUACAGGCUAAGGGUCCCAAGAAUCACAUUUAGCAAGUUGGAGACCUGUUGGAGCUGAUGGUAUAAUUCCAGUUUUAGUCCAAAGGCCUGAGAACCAAAGAGCCAAUGAUAUAAGUUCUGAACCCUGAAGGCAACCCAACUCAAGGAUUGUCAGGCAGGGGAAGAGAAUUUUUUUUCUUAACCCAGGCUUUCAUUUUAUUCAGGCCUUCAAUGUACUGGAUGAGGCUCACUCACACUGGGAGUACUAUCUGCCUUAUUCAAUCCAUGAUUCAAAUGUUAUCUCAUCUAGGAACACCCUCAUAGACACACGAAAAAUAAUAUUUAACCAAAUAUCUAGGCUGCUGGUGGCCAAAUGAACACAUAAAACCAACCUCUCACACAGCUUCACAUCUAACUUGCAAACUAAGAAGUUAACAUACUUAUAGAAUUCCAAAGGCCAAUUGUUUUUUAGUAUGGAAGGAGAAGUUAUGCUUUUUCUAUGGAAAAUUAAGCAUCACAUUUUUUUCUAGUGAUUCCCCUUAUAAUUAAAUCUGGAUAUUUUGUAAGGAUAAAACAAAUAAAUUGAAAGCUACUUUGCUUAACAGGUGUGUUAUUUUAGACAAAAAUUGUAUAUUAUUUUUUAUUUGAAUAAUAAAAAUGUUUUCCA
RNAcentral lists this long non-coding RNA (1412 nucleotides) under Homo sapiens (human). RNAcentral describes it as "HSALNT0203090". Lineage: Eukaryota; Metazoa; Chordata; Mammalia; Primates; Hominidae. The record is from RNAcentral.